Molecule: ribosomal RNA, 524 nt
Filed under: uncultured eukaryote
Lineage: Eukaryota
Description: bacterial SSU rRNA
Rfam family: Eukaryotic small subunit ribosomal RNA
Source: RNAcentral
ACACAGUGAGGAUUGACAGAUUGAGAGCUCUUUCUUGAUUCUGUGGUGGUGGUGCAUGGUCCGUUUUUAGUUGGUGGAGUAAUUUGUCUGGUUAAUUCCGUUAACGAACGAGACCUUAACCUAUUAAAUAGUCGUGGGAACCCAGGUCUUUCAUCCUCUUUCUCAGCAAUGGGGGGGAGGAAACCAUUAUCAUGUUGGUACCCUCUGGGUAUCGCGUGGUAGUGGUGAGGAUCUGAUAGUGUUCUUAUAGGCUUCUUAGAGGGACUCUUUGCAUCUUUAGCAAAUGGAAGUUUGAGGCAAAAACAGGUCUGUGAUGCCCUUCGAUGUUCUGGGCUGCACGCGCGUUACAAUGACGCAUGCAACGAGUUAUUAAAUUCCUGGCCCGAUGGGGUUGGGUAAUCUUUUUAAAGUGCGUCGUGAUGGGGAUAGAGCAUUGCAAUUAUUGUUCUUGAACGAGGAAUUCCUAGUAAUUGCAGGUCAUCAACCUGCGAUGAUUACGUCCCUGCCCUUUGUACACACCGCCC